This 265-nucleotide ribosomal RNA is filed under the name uncultured bacterium. RNAcentral describes it as "partial 16S ribosomal RNA". It matches the Rfam family "Bacterial small subunit ribosomal RNA", at positions 28 to 287 of the family's 1533-position model. The record is from RNAcentral.
GAUGAACGCUAGCUACAGGCUUAACACAUGCAAGUCGAGGGGCGGCAUUUCUUUAGCAAUAAAGAAGAUGGCGACCGGCGCACGGGUGAGUAACACGUAUCCAAUCUGCCUUUUACUCGGGGAUAGCCUUUCGAAAGAAAGAUUAAUACCCGAUGGUAUAUAGUUUCCGCAUGGAGAUUAUAUUAAAGAAUUUCGGUAAAAGAUGAGGAUGCGUUCCAUUAGAUUGUUGGUAGGGUAACGGCUUACCAAGUCUACGAUGGAUAGG